Molecule: ribosomal RNA, 499 nt
Filed under: uncultured bacterium
Lineage: Bacteria
Description: bacterial SSU rRNA
Rfam family: Bacterial small subunit ribosomal RNA
Source: RNAcentral
CUCGAGGACGAACGCUGGCGGCGUGUUUAACACAUGCAAGUGGAGCGACGAACCGGGGCUUGCCCCGGGGCAGAGCCGCGAACGGGUGAGUAACACGUGGGUAACCUGCCUCAAUGAUUGGGACAACCCGGGGAAACUCGGGCUAAUACCAAAUGUGUUCACUCCUUCUAAGGGGAGUGAGGAAAGGAAGCUUCGGCCUCCGCAUUGAGAUGGGCCCGCGGCCCAUUAGCUUGUUGGUGAGGUAACGGCUCACCAAGGCUUCGAUGGGUAGCUGGUCUGAGAGGACGAUCAGCCACACUGGGACUGAGACACGGCCCAGACUCCUACGGGAGGCAGCAGUGGGGAAUCUUGCACAAUGCGCGAAAGCGUGAUGCAGCAACGCCGCGUGGGGGAAGACGGCCUCCGGGUUGUAAACCCCUUUCAGUUGGGACGAAGCUUCGUCGGUGAAUAGCCGGUUGGAGUGACGGUACCUUCAGAAGAAGCCCCGGCUAACUACGUG